Molecule: ribosomal RNA, 494 nt
Filed under: uncultured bacterium
Lineage: Bacteria
Description: partial 16S ribosomal RNA
Rfam family: Bacterial small subunit ribosomal RNA
Source: RNAcentral
GACGAACGCUGGCGGCGCGCUUAACACAUGCAAGUCGAACGGAAAGGCCUGCUUUCCCUUGUGGAUUGCGGGUACUCGAGUGGCGAACGGGUGAGUAACACGUGAGUGAUCUGCCCCCAACUUGGGUAUAAGCCUGGGAAACUGGGUCUAAUUCCCGAUAGGACUGCAGGGUGGUGCCUGUGGUGGAAAACGAUUUUCUAGUGGUUGGGGAUGAGCUCGCGGCCUAUCAGCUUGUUGGUGGGGUAAUGGCCUACCAAGGCGGCGACGGGUAGCCGGCCUGAGAGGGUGGACGGCCACAUUGGGACUGAGAUACAGCCCAGACUCCUACGGGAGGCAGCAGUGGGGAAUAUUGCACAAUGGGCGGAAGCCUGAUGCAGCGACGCCGCGUGGGGGAUGACGGCCUUCGGGUUGUAAACUCCUUUCGACCGCGAGGAAGCCACCUGGUUGGAAGGGUGGUGACGGUAGUGGGAGAAGAAGCACCGGCUAACUACGUG